UCUGUCUUAUUCUUACACGCGAACUACCUUCGUCUCUCCCAUCUCUCUCUCUAGAAAUUAUUUCUUUUUGUUUUCCUCAUUUUCUCUCUCUAUUCUUCCGCCUGGAGUUCCGAACCACAGUUUCUACCGCCGGCAGCUGUUUAUAUACACCGCCGGAGAAAGACUUGACCACUCGUUUACAGUCCAUCGCGACAUUAACUGAAAAGGA
This 208-nucleotide long non-coding RNA is filed under the name Olea europaea (common olive). RNAcentral describes it as "long non-coding RNA (OEUR_LNC012028)". The record is from RNAcentral. Lineage: Eukaryota; Viridiplantae; Streptophyta; Magnoliopsida; Lamiales; Oleaceae.